RNAcentral lists this ribosomal RNA (468 nucleotides) under uncultured bacterium. RNAcentral's name for it is "partial 16S ribosomal RNA". It matches the Rfam family "Bacterial small subunit ribosomal RNA", at positions 28 to 507 of the family's 1533-position model. The record is from RNAcentral.
GACGAACGCUGGCGGCGUGCUUAACAUAUGCAAGUCGAACGGAAAGGCCCUGCUUUUGUGGGGUGCUCGAGUGGCGAACGGGUGAGUAACACGUGAGUAACCUGCCCUUGACUUUGGGAUAACUUCAGGAAACUGGGGCUAAUACCGGAUAGGAGCUCCUGCUGCAUGGUGGGGGUUGGAAAGUUUCGGCGGUUGGGGAUGGACUCGCGGCUUAUCAGCUUGUUGGUGGGGUAGUGGCUUACCAAGGCUUUGACGGGUAGCCGGCCUGAGAGGGUGACCGGCCACAUGGGGACUGAGAUACGGCCCAGACUCCUACGGGAGGCAGCAGUGGGGAAUAUUGCACAAUGGGCGGAAGCCUGAUGCAGCAACGCCGCGUGCGGGAUGACGGCCUUCGGGUUGUAAACCGCUUUCGCCUGUGACGAAGCGUGAGUGACGGUAAUGGGUAAAGAAGCACCGGCUAACUACGUG